GCCAGAUUCUGGAAGACUGUUUAGCCACAUGCAACCUUUGGCACUGAGUCAGGCAUACUGAGAAGAGUCCUAUGGGGAGUCCUAUGGUCCUAAAGACUGUCUUGGCUGACGGAACCUGUCGAAGGCUCACUCUCUAAUGGAGCGCCUGAAUCAACUGAGGAUCUCAUCGUUGAAGUCAAGAGACAGUGUGGUCUUCAGGGCAGUUUCAGACUUCAGUUUAUGGAUUCCUUGUUUGGGAAUGAGUUUCUUAACCUUACCUCGGUUUCAGAAGUAGCAGACAAAGGGACUCUUAAAGCUAUUGACAUGUCAAAGCCCACCACAUGGACAUAAAAAGAGUAACAGAGAUGGUGAAACUCAAGAUGGAAAAGACUUUUUCAUACAGAAGACAUGAAGUUGUUCGUGAUGCACCAAUGGUGGAGGCUUUCAUGGCAAGAUGGCCUGCUCUAUUUGACUUCCAUGAGAUCAACGCUGAGUUUAAGAGAAUUGCCACCAUCCCCCCUCAAACAAAGUUCCUGGCUCAGCUGGAUCUCCACUUGGACAACCUGGUGAAGUUGGUCAACAGAAGAGGAGGGCUUGGACUAAUACUGAAAAGAAUUGUGGCACAAAUGGAUAAUGGUGAAGAUGAUGAUGCUGGAUGUGAGUGUGUAUCUACAUGGGUGAAGACCCUGGC
This is a long non-coding RNA of Oreochromis aureus, 670 nucleotides long. RefSeq lists it as uncharacterized. The record is from RefSeq and is a predicted model, not a curated record. Lineage: Eukaryota; Metazoa; Chordata; Actinopteri; Cichliformes; Cichlidae. The transcript has 4 exons.